CGUAGGGUGCAAGCGUUAAUCGGAAUUACUGGGCGUAAUGCGUGCGCAGGCGGUUAUGCAAGACAGAUGUGAAAUCCCCGGGCUCAACCUGGGAACUGCAUUUGUGACUGCAUAGCUAGAGUACGGUAGAGGGGGAUGGAAUUCCGCGUGUAGCAGUGAAAUGCGUAGAUAUGCGGAGGAACACCGAUGGCGAAGGCAAUCCCCUGGACCUGUACUGACGCUCAUGCACGAAAGCGUGGGGAGCAAACAGGAUUAGAUACCCUGGUAGUCCACGCCCUAAACGAUGUCAACUGGUUGUUGGGAGGGUUUCUUCUCAGUAACGUAGCUAACGCGUGAAGUUGACCGCCUGGGGAGUACGGCCGCAAGGUUG
Molecule: ribosomal RNA, 370 nt
Filed under: uncultured organism
Description: bacterial SSU rRNA
Rfam family: Bacterial small subunit ribosomal RNA
Source: RNAcentral